GAAGGGGAAGCGCCCUGGACUGGGGGCUGCUGGGGUCCGCUGCGCCUCCGGACCCCGCUCUGAACAUCCCAGCGAUUCCCUCCGGACGAUAGGUCCUAAGUGCUUUGAAGAUGCGGAACUGGCUUGAACUUUCACCAGAGUUGACUUUAUGCCUCAUAUCUAUGGACAAGAAUCAUUUGCAUCGCCUCUGCAGCCUGUAAAGUCAUCAAUAACUUAAAGAAAGGAGAAGACCCCAAGGAACCAGAUAACCCAGAAGGGUGUGCCAGACAAUGUCUAGUGUUCAUUGAAGACGCCUAAUAAUCUUUUUGGCCCAUUUCAGAGUCUGUCGCAAAAAAGUGGAGGGUAGAGGGAUCCCCACCCCAUAAUUCUUCUGAUAGUCCCCAACUUGUUUAUAUUGCCUAUGCUUUUAAUCCUGGCGUAUCUUGUGUAUCAUAACUUUGACGGUGCACCGCUUUCCUAAAGGAAAUGGCGCGAUAAAAUAAUCCAUUAAAAUAUUUAACAGUAUUUAGCAGCAGUUGGCAAAAACAACUGUUAUCAAGGGUUUUGUUUUGUUUUGUUUUUUAAUCUCGACAGAAUUGGCAUGUUUUUUCAAAAGGUCUUCUGCGAGUCAUUUCCCCUCUCCAAGCCUCAGGGUUGUUUUUGUUUAUCUCUAAAAUAGGAGAUUAGAUUUGAUUUCUAAGGUUUCUUCCUGUUUUAAGACUGUGGUUCAACACAGAGUGUUUGCCUCUCCCUGAUUUCACUGAGGCCCUGGGAGCAGAAAACCUAAUAUUUCCCAUUCCCCUUGUAGUGAGAGGAAACUUCCCACCUCCCGGGUCAGUUCUGUUUACCCUUCAGGAGCUAGGUUCCAGCUCACCACCUAUCCCAGGAAGCAGCCCUUUUAAAGUAAAGGCUCUAUUCAAACAUAUGGAAAGAUGCUCAGCCUCAUUUGCAGUCCAAAGAAUGAAUGCAAAUCUGAAGUACAAGGAGAUGCCACUUUUCACUUAGUAGGUUUGCAAAGAUAAAGGUUCGGGAAUGCUCUGUUGGCAAACAGCCCCGACUGAUGCAAUUGUAAAUUGUUCAUCUUUGCAGAGCAAGAUAGCAAUAUGAGCCACAAAAACUUGACCCAGCAAUUCCCCUCAGGAGUUUCUCCUACAGGUAGCCUUACCACCGUGCACAAAGCUGUUUGCCCUGGAGUUCACACGGUAGCACGCUGUAGAAGCAAAAGACUGGCGGUGCCCUGUAAGCCUGUGAAUAUAUUAGAGACACAAAAAUAUAAUUGAACGAGUCAACACGCUCCAGCAGGUGGGGAGGCACCUCACAGAAGAGACUGUCCAAAACGUGAAAAAGUGCUUGUUUUCACUAGACGUCGGGGAAACGCAGACUGAAACCACAGGGAAAUGUUUACACACCCACCAACAUGGCUGGAAUGAAAAAACACCGAGCCCUGGCGAGCACCUGGAAUAACUCGGAGCCUCUAUCCGCUGCUGGGGGGGGGGGGGGGGGGGGAGGAACAGGUAAUCGUUAAACUCCCUCCUAUGGCACUUGGGAGUCUCUGCCGAAGCCGCACGUGCACGGACCUGUGUUCAACGGAAGACACCUGCUGGACGGUUCACAACCUAAAUGUCCGUGACCGACAGAAUGGAUAAAUGGUGCGUACCCAUACAAUGAACUACCGUACAAAAUAGAGACCAGUCGCACAAACACGUGUUGGGUUAAAGAAGCAAGACCUGAGACGGUACGUGCUGCGUGGUUCCAUCAAUAAAAGGUUCGGACUCCCGGCAAAACUGGUCUUUGGUAUGGGCACACGUGGGGGGGGGCAAGGGUUACCCGCGAGGGGGGGGUGCCGGGCUACUAAUAAAACUCGGUAUCUUGGUCCC
Lynx canadensis (Canada lynx) is the source of this 1856-nucleotide long non-coding RNA. RefSeq lists it as uncharacterized. The record is from RefSeq and is a predicted model, not a curated record. NCBI's taxonomy places the organism in Eukaryota, Metazoa, Chordata, Mammalia, Carnivora, Felidae. The transcript is spliced from 3 exons.